AGCCCCUGCAAAACUAAAUAACAUCACUUCGGAACCAUUAAGCAAACUAAAUUUGUUGUCUCAGGUGGAGAAGCAUACAGCAAUAACAAAUCCCCAGUUAGCGACGGGACCCCAAAAAUGAGUCGUUUUGGGACCAACGGGACUGUUCAAAAAUGCUUUGAAGGAGGCCAUGCAGGAGUCUGCAACGUAAAAAUCUGGCACGGUCAUAAUAGCAAAGUCAGACAUUAAGAGAAAUAUGUUAAUUGACCGCUACAUGUAACACGGAAAGCUCCAUAACAAACAAAACGAAUUAAAAGUACUUAUUAGACUAUUUUUUAUUUAAUGGGAGAAUAUUAGGGCAGUUUUUGUGGCUAAUAUAGAGAUAAAGGAGUCAACAUCAAAGCCUAUAAGAAGCUCCAGUGACAAGUGAAAACCAACAAUGCAGCUCGAAUAUAACAGAUUACUUUCCCUGAAGCUGAAUCUCUCCCACAAAUGACAAGAAACAUCAAGGCACAAGUGACUUGGAAAAAGCACAUUAUUGGAAGUUUAGAACUUCCAUCAGAUGACAAAAGAGACGGAUAAAAUACCACUACAUAGAUAAUAAAAUUAACAUGUCCAAAGAUGAAGAUCUUCACCAUUCUUUAAUGUAUAACUUAGAUAAUGACAUUGAGAUGAAUAUGGAGCGGGCGAAGAAAAAAAAAGGGAAAACAAGCAACCAAUCUAUAUAAUUCAGGGAACUGGUGCACACCUGCCAUUGUAUAGCUUCACAUUUAACUAUAGAACUAAUGCACCAACAUAUGAAACCAGAUCAUCAAACCAUAAAUAGUUCAUUAUUUGCCCACUGUUUACCACCAUGAAGACACCUUUUUAUGCAGUACAAUUGCGAAGCAAUUGACUCUAAAAAUUGCAUCAAAUGCUUAUAUAUAGAGCAUUUACCGAACCAACUCAUAAUUCUGUUUUUUUUCCCUAACAAAAUCAAUAUUCUUGGACACAGUAUCCGAAUCCAACACUUAAGUUUAGAAAUAACAUGACGGACAUCUAAUUCUACAGUUGGAUGGACCAUGCACUAUUUUGCUUAAUAAAAAUGCAGAAGUCUUCUAAAUGAAAAACAGAAGCAAUAAACCACUAAUCCAACUAAAUAAAUGCUGACGACCAUGUACCAGACCAGAAAAGUUCAAUUAUUUGUAAAUGAUGGCAAAUAAUCAAGAAAUUAACUCCAUAAAAUUUUGGAGAACUUCACAAAUGUUCUAACAGAAAAAAACCAACUCAUUAAACUAUUUGCAUUGAUGACAACAAAUCCAACCAACUCAUAAAUUUUGUUUUCCUAACAAGAUCAAUAUUCUUGGACACAGUAUCCAAAUCCAACACUCAAGUUUAGAACUAACAUGAUGGACAUCUAAUUCUACAGUUUUGCUUAAUAAAAGAUAACCAUUUAAAUGCAUAAGUCUUCUAAAUGAAAAACAGAAGUGAUAAACCACUAAUCCAACUAAAUAAAUGCUGACGACCAUGUACCAGACCAGAAAAGUUCAAUUAUUUGUAAAUGACGGCCAAUAAUCACAACUCAAUAAAUUUUAGAGAACUUUAUAAAUGUUCUAACACAAAAAACCAAUUCAUUAAACUAUUUGCAUUGACGCCAACGAAUACAGAAGCACUCAAAAUAGAGAGUGCAAAAGAACAUCAUUUAUUGUUUGUCUCUACUCUCUCCCAACAACUCCCUCUUUCUGAAGAAAGUUGUCAAGCAGGCGUCUUUGAACCAAACCUUCCCAUGCUUAUUAGAUUUUGAGGAUAAGGGGAACCAUGAUAUUCUUAUUUCCACACUUACCUCAAGAAAGGGUUCAUCCCGAAGUAUGCCACUCGUGCUCAGAGAAAAGCCUGGAGGACUUUGCCCAACCGGCCGACUUAACCAAAUAUUCGAAGGUUAAAGGAGUUCCAAAUAAAUUCCAGUAAGUUAGAAAAUAAUCCAACAAAAAUUGGAGAACUUCAGAAACGUUGCAACCAAACAUAAAUAUUCAUCAAGCCAUAUUUUCUUCCUAGAUCAUUCAAGAAUGAAUACGAAUUCGAAAGGGAGGGAACCCAAAAAAAAAAAUAAUAAAUAAAUAAAUAAAAAUAAAAAUAAAUAAACAAAAUCCCUUAUCUUCAAACCCAAACAGGACGUGCUUUCUUUAUGUUAACGAACUAAACCUAUAAUUUCAAACAAAAAAAUCGGUAAACCAAUGAAAUCCCAUGUCAAUAUAUAGAUCAAUCGAAUAACUAAAUGAGAUAUAAAUCCACACACAACAUAGAAAUGCACGCACAAGAUUAACGAAUUGUAUAUGUCUCUAUUCAAAGAUCGUGCCUUUACCACUUGAAUCUGUACAAAAAUCGUCGGUUGGUUCGCGGUGUGGUGACUGAAGUUUAGAGAAGAGGAAAAAUAGACAGUUCUAUAGGGGUGACUGCGUGCUGAUGAGACCAGGAUACUAUACACAGGGCCCCACUAUAAUUGUAUUUUUUUGGAAUAAUUAAACUUGAAGAGUAAUUUUAGCGGACUUAAUUGUUUGAACGCUCGGAAUUGCGAAAUUUCACGUUUUGAGUGAACUUUGACAUUGCAUAACAAAAUCAUUCAGUAUCUUUUACUCUAUCAAAGCAUUGAAUUUCUAAAUUCUCAAAGGGCCCCCCUGGAAUUCCCUCUAGCCUGUUGGAUAAUUU
This 2664-nucleotide long non-coding RNA is filed under the name Olea europaea subsp. europaea. The record is from RNAcentral. Lineage: Eukaryota; Viridiplantae; Streptophyta; Magnoliopsida; Lamiales; Oleaceae.